UACGGAGGGUGCAAGCGUUAUCCGGAUUCACUGGGUUUAAAGGGAGCGCAGGCGGAUUGGUAAGUCAGUGGUGAAAUCUUCGAGCUUAACUCGGAAACUGCCAUUGAUACUAUCUGUCUUGAAUACUUUGGAGGUAAGCGGAAUAUGUCAUGUAGCGGUGAAAUGCUUAGAUAUGACAUAGAACACCAAUUGCGAAGGCAGCUUACUACACAGUCAUUGACACUGAGGCACGAAAGCGUGGGGAUCAAACAGG
This 253-nucleotide ribosomal RNA is filed under the name uncultured bacterium. Its description in RNAcentral is "partial 16S ribosomal RNA". It matches the Rfam family "Bacterial small subunit ribosomal RNA", at positions 524 to 776 of the family's 1533-position model. The record is from RNAcentral.